This 203-nucleotide ribosomal RNA is filed under the name Triticum aestivum (bread wheat). RNAcentral's name for it is "partial small subunit ribosomal RNA". The record is from RNAcentral. Lineage: Eukaryota; Viridiplantae; Streptophyta; Magnoliopsida; Poales; Poaceae.
UGCUGCUGCUCGCGGCCACAGGAGAGAUGGGAGGCCCGGUGGCGGUGGCGGAAGCUCGGAAGUGCGAGUCGCUGAGCCACAGGUUCGCGGGCCUCUGCCUGCGCGGCCACAACUGCGCCAACGUCUGCCGGACCGAGGGCUUCCCCGGCGGCAAGUGCCGCGGCGCCAGCCGCCGCUGCUUCUGCACCACCCACUGCCGCUAG